CACCGCGGUUAGACGAGAGGCCCUAGUUGAUAUUACAACGGCGUAAAGGGUGGUUAAGGACAAACAAUUUUUUAAAGCCAAAUGGCCCCUUGGCCGUCAUACGCUCCUGGGAGCCCGAAGCCCUAUACACGAAAGUAGCUUUAAUAACCCACCUGACCCCACGAAAGCUGAGAAA
RNAcentral lists this ribosomal RNA (175 nucleotides) under Acrossocheilus kreyenbergii. Its description in RNAcentral is "partial 12S rRNA". Lineage: Eukaryota; Metazoa; Chordata; Actinopteri; Cypriniformes; Cyprinidae. The record is from RNAcentral.